AUUAUCCCCCCAAUUUCUAUUUUUACUUCUUAUUCAACAAUAUGAGAGCAGUUUUCUCCAAUGAUUUAUUUUAUUAUGGUGUCCAGGUUCUUUUUUGUUUGUUUGUUUUUUGAUCAUGUCUUUCAGGCAAUUGAAUGAUUCUUAGAUUUCUCUCCUCGAUCUAUUUUCCAGUCACUUUUCUAAUGAGAUAUUUCAGGUUUCCUUCAAUAUUUUUUCAUUAUUUUGAACAUGUUUUAUUAUUUCUUGCUGUCUUAUUAAGUAAUUAGCUUCCAUUUGUCCAAUUCUAAUUUUUAGGGAACCCUUUUCUUCUCUGAGACUUUAUAUUUCCUUUCAUAGGAAGUUAAUUUCCUAUUUAAGGUGUUGUAUUUCCUUUUUCUUCUAAAUUGUUUAUUUUACUAUCUUUUUCUUUUCUGAUUUUUUCUUCUAAGUUUAUUAUUAUUUGCUUAUUUAAUUUUUAUAGCUCUUCUAGGAGUUCAUUUUGGACUUAACAUUCUUCCACAUGUUUUUGAGGCUUCCCAUAUUUUCAUUUUUGUAUUACUGUCCUCUUCUAAGCUCCCAUUUUGGUUCUCUCUCUUGCUGAAACAUUUUUUCUAGUAUCCAUUAGGACUAAUUAAUCCAUAGGUCUAAUGAGUACUAUUUGGAGUAAUUGGAAUCUUAGCAUCUAAGGACAGGGUGAAGGAUAGUGGAUAAAGUUUCUUUAAGGCCAGACAGAAUCCUGGGAAGGUUGCCUGUGGGAAUUCUGGGUAUCCUAAGUCAGUUGGUUUUCCAACUAUCGAGAACUCCUGGAGUAUUUUUUUCCUAGGAGGAGUGCUGGUUUUCUUUUCCCUGGAACACUGAAAAAAACCAGUGGUAGGUGAAGGAGGAGAACAGGUUAGAGUUUUUGUAAUAAGUUUGUGGGGGAAAUCAACAGAAAAGAGAAAGAGAGAGACUAUUUUUCUUCUGUGUGGCAGCUGAGAGGGCCAAGACAUUUUGAGGUCUGCUUAGACCAAAAAAAGUAUUACUUGGUUAAAAUACACAUUAAGUAUCUUUCUUUCUACAGAUCAUUGAUUAUGGAUAGAAAAUUCCUGGGUAGGAAACAUUUUAUCAUUUAUUUAUUUUUCUCUUUUCAUCCUGUCAAGCACACUUUUGUACUGCCAAAGACAAUAUGACCCAAUUGGUCUGAUAGAGGUAAUUUUAACAAUUUACUUAUUAUAAUUAAAUUACAUUUAAAAAAGAUGAGACACUCUGGUUCAGGUUAGAAACUUAAUAGUAUUUAAGAUACAUCCUUAGAGAUGUGGUUAUUUACAUAUAUUUUCAGAAAUGAUACAGGUAUAUGUAUUUAUGUGUAAAUAUAGGUUCAUUAUAAUAACAUUUCAGGGUCUAAUAAGAAAAUGCAGUAGUCAUUUCAGUAGUAUUGUGAACAUCAUGGAUAGAUCAAGUUAAUAUAUUUGUAUGUAUGCACACAUGAAUACACACAUGUGCAUGUGUAGUUAUAGGUGCAGUAUUUUAAGACUAGCAAGCUAAAGUUUUCUGUUUGAAAUUCCUUAUACUAGAGUAGUGGUUUCAAAACCUUUUAAGUUACUUGUUCAUAACAGUAAAAUAUCUUUGAACACAUACUCUC
This 1600-nucleotide long non-coding RNA is filed under the name Monodelphis domestica (gray short-tailed opossum). RNAcentral describes it as "lncRNA (ENSMODG00000046509.1)". Lineage: Eukaryota; Metazoa; Chordata; Mammalia; Didelphimorphia; Didelphidae. The record is from RNAcentral.